CACGUAGGGUGCAAGCGUUGUUCGGAUUCAUUGGGCGUAAAGGGUGCGUAGGCGGCGCGGUAAGUCGGGUGUGAAAUCUCGGAGCUUAACUCCGAAACUGCAUUCGAUACUGCCGUGCUUGAGGACUGGAGAGGAGACUGGAAUUUACGGUGUAGCGGUGAAAUGCGUAGAUAUCGUAAGGAAGACCAGUGGCGAAGGCGGGUCUCUGGACAGUUCCUGACGCUGAGGCACGAAGGUCAGGGGAGCAAACGGG
RNAcentral lists this ribosomal RNA (253 nucleotides) under uncultured bacterium. Its description in RNAcentral is "partial 16S ribosomal RNA". It matches the Rfam family "Bacterial small subunit ribosomal RNA", at positions 524 to 776 of the family's 1533-position model. The record is from RNAcentral.